AUCUUCCCUGCGACAUCCUAGAAAAAAGGCUUUUGUCUUAGGCUUCUCCCAGUCAUCUAAGUGUUGAAGUUGGCCGGCUCUUCUGCCAUUUUAUCACCCUCGACAGAUGUCUGAUUAGCUGGGAGGAUGGACUUGGCUAAGGCAAGAUGCACAUGGACAGGGACGUGGUGGAGCAGAUCCCUGUGCCAGAUUCCAACAUGGAGUUGACCUGGACAGGAAGGAAGAAGACCUGAGACGUGGCCCCUCUGAGUCAUAUUCUCCCAGCCCGGCUUCAUGAUUUCGUCUGAAGUAAACGCCUGGGGCGACAGAUAACCCUGCCCCACUAAGAGCCUGCUCUGACGUCUCCAGCCGCCAUUCUCCUCUUAGGCUCCCAGUAGCUGUCUCUGGACAAUGCAGACAACAUAUUUUUGGUGCUUGGUUACAAUAUAUUUUGGCAUUUUAUUAUGUGGUCUCUUGUCUGAUUUCUAGGUCUUCCGUGCGCCUGACUCUCGCCUCAUCAUGAGGUUAUAAACCUUGAC
Molecule: long non-coding RNA, 518 nt
Filed under: Equus caballus (horse)
Lineage: Eukaryota; Metazoa; Chordata; Mammalia; Perissodactyla; Equidae
Description: lncRNA (ENSECAG00000050430.1)
Source: RNAcentral